GCGAGUGAAGAGGGAAGAGCCCAAGAUUGAAAGCUGGCGUCUUCGGCGUCCGCAUUGUAAUCUCAAGAAGUGUUUUCCGCUUCGGACCAAGCCUAAGUCCCCUGGAAAGGGGCAUCAUAGAGGGUGAUAAUCCCGUACAUGGCUUGGAGCGCCCGAGGCUUUGUGAUACGCUUUCUAAGAGUCGAGUUGUUUGGGAAUGCAGCUCAAAAUGGGUGGUAAAUGCCAUCUAAGGCUAAAUAUUGGGGAGAGACCGAUAGCGAACAAGUACAGUGAUGGAAAGAUGAAAAGAACUUUGAAAAGAGAGUUAAACAGUACGUGAAAUUGCCAAAAGGGAAGGGUAGGAGGUCAGAGAUGCGGCCUGGGAUUCAGCCUUGCUUUUGCUUGGUGUUUUUCCCAGAUUGCAGGCCAACGUCGGUUUUGGGCACUGGAGAAGGGUAGGAGGAACGUGGCACCCCUCGGGGUGUGUUAUAGCCUCCUACUGGAUACAGCGACCGAGACCGAGGACAGCAGCGUACUCGCAAGAGCGGGCCUUCGGGCACCUUUACGCUUAGGGCGUUGGCAUAAUGGCCCUCUACCACCC
Molecule: ribosomal RNA, 580 nt
Filed under: Ustilago esculenta
Lineage: Eukaryota; Fungi; Basidiomycota; Ustilaginomycetes; Ustilaginales; Ustilaginaceae
Description: eukaryotic LSU rRNA
Rfam family: Eukaryotic large subunit ribosomal RNA
Source: RNAcentral